GCGAGCGGCGGAUGGGUGAGUAACACGUGGGGAACCUGCCCCUAAGUCUGGGAUACCAUUUGGAAACAGGUGCUAAUACCGGAUAAUAAAGCAGAUCGCAUGAACAGCUUUUGAAAGGCGGCGUAAGCUGUCGCUAAGGGAUGGCCACGCGGUGCAUUAGCUAGUUGGUAAGGUAGCGGCUUACCAAGGCGACGAUGCAUAGCCGAGUUGAGAGACUGAUCGGCCACAUUGGGACUGAGACACGGCCCAAACUCCUACGGGAGGCAGCAGUAGGGAAUCUUCCACAAUGGACGCAAGUCUGAUGGAGCAACGCCGCGUGAGUGAAGAAGGUUUUCGGAUCGUAAAGCUCUGUUGUUGGUGAAGAAGGAUAGAGGUAGUAACUGGCCUUUAUUUGACGGUAAUCAACCAGAAAGUCACGGCUAACUACGUGCCAGCAGCCGCGGUAAUACGUAGGUGGCAAGCGUUGUCCGGAUUUAUUGGGCGUAAAGCGAGCGCAGGCGGAAAAAUAAGUCUAAUGUGAAAGCCCUCGGCUUAACCGAGGAACUGCAUCGGAAACUGUUUUUCUUGAGUGCAGAAGAGGAGAGUGGAACUCCAUGUGUAGCGGUGGAAUGCGUAGAUAUAUGGAAGAACACCAGUGGCGAAGGCGGCUCUCUGGUCUGCAACUGACGCUGAGGCUCGAAAGCAUGGGUAGCGAACAGGAUUAGAUACCCUGGUAGUCCAUGCCGUAAACGAUGAGUGCUAAGUGUUGGGAGGUUUCCGCCUCUCAGUGCUGCAGCUAACGCAUUAAGCACUCCGCCUGGGGAGUACGACCGCAAGGUUGAAACUCAAAGGAAAUUGACGGGGGCCCCGCACAAGCGGUGGAACCAUGUGGUUUAAUUUCGAAGCAAC
RNAcentral lists this ribosomal RNA (888 nucleotides) under uncultured bacterium. RNAcentral describes it as "bacterial SSU rRNA". It matches the Rfam family "Bacterial small subunit ribosomal RNA", at positions 91 to 960 of the family's 1533-position model. The record is from RNAcentral.